GAGUUGUGAGCACAGCAGCUCCGUCACCGAGGGGUGAUCACCUGGCCCUGCUUACUCAUGUGGAAAAAAACCAGGAAGGAAGGAAAAAAAAAGAAAAGGGGAAAAAAAAAAGCCACAUGCAAACAACCAAAAAAGUCCCAGAUACGCUUCGCACCCUUGCCAUGAGCACAACACCCUGCAGAACAGAGCUGGACCCUCUUUAGCACCACUCUCCUGCACACCCUUCCUCCUUCCCACAGCCCUAACACCAAUGGGAACAAAUCCCCACAGCCCCAAAACAUCCCACAGCUCCCUGCCCUGCUUGGGCACAUCUGGAACCCCCCAGGGAAGGGACCCCCGAAGGAAGGGACCCCCCCAGGGGCUGGGGCAGCCCCCUCCGGCUCCUUACCGAGCUCAGGGCCACUGGGGACCGGCUGCGGGCUCCGGGAGCGCCCGGGGAGGCGGCGCUGGUGCUCCCCGAGAGGUUUUUAUCCUCCCCCCGUCCCUCCCUGCUCCCCGCCCCCGGCCGGCACCUCCUGCCCCUCCGUUGCCCUGCCCCGGGGGGGAAAAAGGGUCGCGGGAGUAAAUCGGGAGAGGUUUUUGGGGAGCCUCCUCACCGCAAGAGUCCCGACCUCCGGGCUGGCAGCUUUGCGUCCUAGUGGAGGGGAAGAAAGCACGGAACAAAGGUGGAAAGCAGAGGAGGAAAAGCAGAGGAUGAGUAGAAAUACCAACAGCAAAUUAUUGCAUUUCCAACCCUUCCCAAUCUUGCUUGAACUCAGGCACAGCCAAACAGCGUGGGUGUACCAGGAAGGACACAACCUCUGGAUCCUGAUAUCCCACCCCCUGCCCCUUGCACACUCGCUCAGUGCUUUGGGGUCGCUGCAGCAGUCGCAUGGAGGGGUCGCCCUCGAUGUCAGCCACGAGUAUUGGCUUUAGCAUCUCCUACGUGCACCCUGACAUCUGGCAGCAGAGAGGAAAAUCAGGAGAACUUGUUCAUGUAUUCUGAGGAUUCUGAUUUAGCUGCCUAUGGCUGAGAAGAGCAGGAGCCCAACCUUCCAAGAGCAUGCCAUGUCCUUCCCCUGGUUUUUGUGUGAAGGGGGAUCUGGCUCAUUUCUCCAGCAAGCUUACGAGUGACCAGACAACAGAUAAAACAUGAAGGGGGUUGCACCCCUCAUUCUCAGAAGGAAUAGAGAUGGGGGACAGCUGACAACCGACUCUUCAUUUACUCCAGGGGUCCCAUCACUGAUGCUUGAGUCCUAACGUGGAGGAGCUCUCCUCAAAGAGGCAGGCAGGGACGGGGUGCAGAGACUGCUGUCAGGCACCAGGGCUGCUUUGGCAGCAGGUCAGGCCCAGGAGAUGGUGUCAGUUCUUGAAGCCACCGUCAGGCACCUCUGCUUGUGAGCAAUUGUUCCCUGCGUUGUUUAUUUAUGGCUGUGGGAGGUGACUCUUGGUCUUGGAAAGCUGGAAUUUCCUGCCCUGUGUAUUUUUUAAUCCCUUAGCUGCUCCUGAGAGAUUGGAGCUAUUCCUAGAAGACAGGGGAAUGAAAACCUUUCCCUUCCAACCGUAGCUUUUUCUGAAAGAGAUAAGCUGCUAGGUUUGUUUUCCCAUUCAGGACUGGUUUAUCAAUAAACCUGAGAGCCACUUUAUUGUGUCGGCA
This 1636-nucleotide long non-coding RNA is filed under the name Anas platyrhynchos platyrhynchos (common mallard). RNAcentral describes it as "lncRNA (ENSAPLG00000017139.1)". The record is from RNAcentral. Lineage: Eukaryota; Metazoa; Chordata; Aves; Anseriformes; Anatidae.